UGACUAUGAAACUGCGAAUGGCUCAUUAUAUCAGUAAUAGUUUAUUUGGUGAAGGAUACUAAUUGGAUAACCGUAGUAAUUCUAGGGCUAAUACAUGAGUAAAGUCCCGUUGGGAUGUGUUUAUUAGAAUGAAAACCAUAUGCUUCGGCAUGAUAGUGAGUAAUAGUAACCUAUCGUAUCGCAUGCUUAAAGUAGCGAUGAGUCUUUCAAGGUUCUGCCCUAUCAGCUUUCGAUGGUAGCAUAUGGGUCUACCAUGGCAGUAACGGGUAA
Molecule: ribosomal RNA, 270 nt
Filed under: Blastocystis sp.
Lineage: Eukaryota; Bigyra; Opalinata; Blastocystidae
Description: partial small subunit ribosomal RNA
Rfam family: Eukaryotic small subunit ribosomal RNA
Source: RNAcentral